RNAcentral lists this ribosomal RNA (536 nucleotides) under Exerodonta juanitae. Its description in RNAcentral is "partial 16S ribosomal RNA". It matches the Rfam family "Bacterial large subunit ribosomal RNA", at positions 1811 to 2561 of the family's 2925-position model. The record is from RNAcentral. Lineage: Eukaryota; Metazoa; Chordata; Amphibia; Anura; Hylidae.
AAACAUCGCUUCUUGACAAAUAUAAGAGGUCCAGCCUGCCCAGUGACCCUGUUUAACGGCCGCGGUAUCCUAACCGUGCGAAGGUAGCGUAAUCACUUGUUCUUUAAAUGAGGACUAGUAUGAACGGCAUCACGAAGGUUAUACUGUCUUCCUUUUCUAAUCAGUGAAACUAAUCUCCCCGUGAAGAAGCGGGGAUGAUAUUAUAAGACGAGAAGACCCUAUGGAGCUUUAAACUAAAUAACACCUGCUCUUUUGUACCCCAUUUCAGAAUGAUUAACAAUUAUCCUAGCUUUUUGAUUAUUAGUUUUAGGUUGGGGUGACCACGGAGAAAAGAAUAUCCUCCAUAUUGAAAGGAUUUAAUUCCUGAGCUGCGAAUUACAAUUCAACGCACCAAUAAAUUGACAUCAAUUGACCCAAUAUUUUGAUCAAUGAACCAAGUUACCCUAGGGAUAACAGCGCAAUCUGCUCAAGAGCCCCUAUCGACAAGCAGGUUUACGACCUCGAUGUUGGAUCAGGGUAUCCCAGUGGUGCAGCCG